Molecule: small nuclear RNA, 192 nt
Filed under: Anneissia japonica
Lineage: Eukaryota; Metazoa; Echinodermata; Crinoidea; Comatulida; Comatulidae
Description: U2 spliceosomal RNA
Rfam family: U2 spliceosomal RNA
About the family: U2 is a small nuclear RNA (snRNA) component of the spliceosome (involved in pre-mRNA splicing). Complementary binding between U2 snRNA (in an area lying towards the 5' end but 3' to hairpin I) and the branchpoint sequence (BPS) of the intron results the bulging out of an unpaired adenosine, on the BPS, which initiates a nucleophilic attack at the intronic 5' splice site, thus starting the first of two transesterification reactions that mediate splicing.
Source: RNAcentral
AUCGCUUCUCGGCCUUUUGGCUAAGAUCAUGUGUAAUAUCUGUUCUUUUCAGCUUAAUAUCUGAAACGCUGCUCAUUGAGUAGCUUCGAAUAUUAACUGAUUUUUUAACUUAGGCUAUGGAACAGGAGCUUGCUCCGUCCUGGCCACGGGUUGACCUGGUAUUGAAGUACAUUCAGGACCAGCCCAUCCUCU